GUGCCAGCAGCCGCGGUAAGACAGAGGGUGCAAACGUUGUUCGGAAUUACUGGGCGUAAAGCGCGUGUAGGCGGCGCGGUAAGUCAGGUGUGAAAGCCCUGGGCUCAACCUAGGAAGUGCACUUGAAACUACCGUGCUUGAGAUCUGGAGAGGAAGGCGGAAUUCUCGGUGUAGAGGUGAAAUUCGUAGAUAUCGAGAGGAACACCGGUGGCGAAGGCGGCCUUCUGGACAGCAUCUGACGCUGAGACGCGAAAGCGUGGGGAGCAAACAGGAUUAGAUACCCCCGUAGUCC
RNAcentral lists this ribosomal RNA (292 nucleotides) under uncultured bacterium. RNAcentral's name for it is "partial 16S ribosomal RNA". It matches the Rfam family "Bacterial small subunit ribosomal RNA", at positions 505 to 796 of the family's 1533-position model. The record is from RNAcentral.